This is a long non-coding RNA of Vitis riparia (riverbank grape), 1307 nucleotides long. RefSeq lists it as uncharacterized. The record is from RefSeq and is a predicted model, not a curated record. NCBI's taxonomy places the organism in Eukaryota, Viridiplantae, Streptophyta, Magnoliopsida, Vitales, Vitaceae. The transcript has 2 exons.
CACAGACACUAAUUUUAAGCCUUAAAAGGUUUCUUGUGUUUCCAUUGAAUUAUAAUUUAAUGGAUUGUCUUGGCCCUUGUGGAGCUGGGCAACUUGUUUAGGAAUCCAACUGUGUUGAACCCAGCUUUAUUGUUGGAUUGCAUUGAGCUAGUGUGAGGCCAUGAGCCAAAAUGCCAGCUAAGGUAUAGCACAUCAUCCAUGCACUAUUUGUUAAUUGGAUCACUGUUUUUUUACUGUGGUUUAUUGUCCGUCCUCUUUGGAGAUGGUCCAUUUAUGCUAGGUACUGCUGCUGAAAUCUUUGAAAUUGAGAGGCUAGGAUUUGCUCAACUUGCAACACGCAGUGCAUUGUCGGCCAAAAAAUUAUACUUGUCUCUCUGAUUCUUUGGUUCAAAUAAUGGUUUAUGGUGGGUAAAAUAAUUGGUCACCCAACUGGUCCAUACCAAAAUACCUGAAUUUACAUUUUUUUUUCCCCGGAUUGGGGAAAUGAGCAUCCUGGGUUGGGACUGAAUUGGGUUAUUAGUUGAUGUUCUAUUUGAAUUUCUAUUAGCCUUCAAUUCUAUUGCACCCACGUUACCUAUGAAAAGAAUUUUCUACCAUUCCCACCUGAAAUCCUGCCAUUACUUGAUGUCUACUCAAAUAUAUUCUAUAUGUAACAUUUCCCUGCAUAUAACUUUCCUCGCUUUAUAGAAUUUAAAAAGAAAAAAAAAUUAUCAAAACAUUUUUUUCCCCUAUGAACAAGAAAAAAAUUUCUAUCUGACAAAAAAAUGUUAUCCUUCCAUAUUACUGCAAGGCCGCAUGUCACCUUUCCAUGAGUUCGAUAUAAGAGCUCCAAUAAUUAGUGAAUUUAGUUAUUCUGGAGUACCCUCUGAUUCAUGUUUUCCUCCCUUCACAUAGCUAUGAUAUCAAUGUCAUUAAAGGUGCCAAACCCCUGUCAUCAACCAGAGCUUAAGGAGUCUGUCGCCAUUGAUCACCCAAGUCCAAAAGGCAUUUAAUUCAGGGAAGAGGAAAUAGAAGAAGAUGGUGGUCUUCAAAUCCUUAGUUUCUAGAUCUCAUUAAGCAUGUGAAAUCGAUAGAAGCUAAUAAGCUACGGUCCAGCCCCCACGAGAAGGAACCAGGGAAGGUGACUUUUCCAAGGAAGUGAAAUAUGAAGAAAGAAUAGAUCGUGCAAAUCUUGGUAGAGUUUUCCCAGUGGAGGAAUUAGAGGAAGGGGAAAUUCCUGGUGCUGAACAAUUGAAUGCUCAUAUAUUAUUUGGGAUCAUCAAUAUUAUUUAAGAGCAAAGAUAAUUUCAAGUUUAUUUAUUUAUUUA